GACGAACGCUGGCGGCGUGCUUAACACAUGCAAGUCGAACGGAAAGGCCCUGCUUUUGUGGGGUGCUCGAGUGGCGAACGGGUGAGUAACACGUGAGUAACCUGCCCUUGACUUUGGGAUAACUUCAGGAAACUGGGGCUAAUACCGGAUAGGAGCUCCUGCUGCAUGGUGGGGGUUGGAAAGUUUCGGCGGUUGGGGAUGGACUCGCGGCUUAUCAGCUUGUUGGUGGGGUAGUGGCUUACCAAGGCUUUGACGGGUAGCCGGCCUGAGAGGGUGACCGGGACAAGGGGGAUGAUGAUAGGCAGCAGGCUGCAACCUGAGGCAGCGGGGGGGAGUGUGGCAGACUGGGGGGGGGGCUGUACAGGUGUGCCUGCGGGGGGGAAGCGGGCUUACGGGUGAUGAACAAAUUGCGACGGAGACAAAGCGUGCGUGACGGUAAGGUAUAAGAAAGGAACGGCUAAUUACGUG
This 468-nucleotide ribosomal RNA is filed under the name uncultured bacterium. RNAcentral's name for it is "partial 16S ribosomal RNA". It matches the Rfam family "Bacterial small subunit ribosomal RNA", at positions 28 to 507 of the family's 1533-position model. The record is from RNAcentral.